UACGGGGGGUGCGAGCGUUGUCCGGAAUCACUGGGCGUAAAGGGCGCGUAGGUGGUCUGAUAAGGGUGUGGUGAAAGCCCGGGGCUCAACCCCGGGUCGGCCGUGCCGACUGUUGGACUAGAGUGCUGUAGGGGCAGGCGGAAUUCCGGGUGUAGCGGUGGAAUGCGUAGAGAUCGGGAAGAACAUCAGUGGCGAAGGCGGUCUGCUGGGCCGUUGCUGACGCUGAGGCGCGACAGCGUGGGGAGCGAACCGG
This 253-nucleotide ribosomal RNA is filed under the name uncultured bacterium. RNAcentral's name for it is "partial 16S ribosomal RNA". It matches the Rfam family "Bacterial small subunit ribosomal RNA", at positions 524 to 776 of the family's 1533-position model. The record is from RNAcentral.